This 922-nucleotide long non-coding RNA is filed under the name Mytilus galloprovincialis (Mediterranean mussel). The record is from RNAcentral. Lineage: Eukaryota; Metazoa; Mollusca; Bivalvia; Mytilida; Mytilidae.
CACAUCCGGUCUCAUAUGAUAGCUGCUUUCACACUGAUUCCAAAAAUAUAUAGUUUCUAUAUACUUUUGUAUGUAGAAUGGGAGAUAAUUGGCCACUUCCGGUUUGUUGGAAGUCAUUUUUAGUCUUCAGUAAUCUGUUCAUGUAUCUAUAUGACAAAAUAUAUGGAUUCUGAGUACUUUUAUGUGAAAAAAUUGCAAAAAAAGCUACUUCCGGUUUUCUAAAGGUCACUUCCGGUAGCCAUUUUUCAAGGUCAUUUCUCAUUUAACCUUUUGUAUAAGGUCAAAUGUCUUUAUUAUGAACUUAAUUGAAGUUAUAAUCAAAUAACCUCAUAUCAAGACAUUCCAGGGGCACCAACUCCUAUAAGAUGCCAUUUAAUUGUAUAAGACUAAAUGUAGCAUAUCUUCAUUACAAUAAAGCAGACAUUUUGCACUUGUUCUUUUAUAUGUAUCUCUCAAAGUGUCAGAGAAAAUGCAAAAACAAGCAAAAGUCACUAUUGAGAACUUGACCUUGACCUUUGACCUUGACCUAAUUUUCUAAGUUAGGACCCAGGGGACUCAAAUAAAAACAUUCCAGGGUUAUACGGUUAACGGUUUAUGAGUUAAAAAAACAUACGAACAAAUUUAUUCCGUAAAGGUAGAUAACUCGUAUAAAAUUUCAUCGAAUCGCUUCGAUCCAAAUACGCCAAAAAUUACUGAGGAUAUAACGAACAAUUUGUAAAAAGAAUUUUGUCGAUAUCUUUUUUUGUUGCGAAGGAGAUGCACACAGAUGACAAACAGUGAAUAGGGAGAUAACUCUUACAAAGAAAAUGGUUCGGCUUAGCAGGGUAAAUUUAAAAGCGCAUAAACUAUACGAUACCAUAUUAGAAAUAUCUAAGUGACAUAUUGCGAAACAAACAUUUAUCGCAAGAACAAAAUUUGGCGG